UACAGAGGUCUCAAGCGUUGUUCGGAUUCAUUGGGCGUAAAGGGUGCGUAGGUGGCAUGGUAAGUUGAAGGUGAAAUCUCGGAGCUCAACUCCGAAACUGCCUUCAAUACUGCUGUGCUUGAGAGCUGUAGAGGAGAAUGGAAUUCACGGUGUAGCAGUGAAAUGCGUAGAUAUCGUGAGGAAGACCAGUGGCGAAGGCGAUUCUCUGGGCAGUUUCUGACACUGAGGCACGAAGGCUAGGGGAGCAAACGGG
This 253-nucleotide ribosomal RNA is filed under the name uncultured bacterium. RNAcentral describes it as "partial 16S ribosomal RNA". It matches the Rfam family "Bacterial small subunit ribosomal RNA", at positions 524 to 776 of the family's 1533-position model. The record is from RNAcentral.